AGAGUUUGAUCAUGGCUCAGAAUGAACGUUGGCGGCGUGGAUUAGGCAUGCAAGUCGAGCGAGAAGCCGUUUAUUGAAACUUCGGUCGAUGUAAAUGGUGGAAAGCGGCGAAAGGGAGAGUAACACGUAGAUACGUACCUUUGGGUUCGGGAUAGCCACGGGAAACUGUGGGUAAUACCGAAUAAUGUCUUCGGACCAAAGAUUUAUUGCCCAAAGAUCGGUCUGCGUCCUAUUAGCUAGUUGGUGAGGUAAUGGCUCACCAAGGCGAAGAUGGGUAGCGGGCGUGAGAGCGUGGCCCGUCUCACUGGGACUGAGACACUGCCCAGACACCUACGGGUGGCUGCAGUCGAGAAUCUUCCGCAAUGGGCGAAAGCCUGACGGAGCGACGCCGCGUGCGGGAUGAAGGCUUUCGGGUUGUAAACCGCUGUCAGAGGGGAGCAAAAUUUGAGCGAUCCUCAAAGGAAGCGCAGGCUAAGUUCGUGCCAGCAGCCGCGGUAAUACGAACUGCGCGAACGUUAUUCGGAAUCACUGGGCUUAAAGAGUUCGUAGGCGGCUAUGUAGGUCAGGUGUGAAAUCCCACAGCUCAACUGUGGAAUUGCGCUUGAAACCGCAUGGCUUGAGGGAGAUAGAGGUAAGCGGAACUGAUGGUGGAGCGGUGAAAUGCGUUGAUAUCAUCAGGAACACCGGUGGCGAAGGC
This 697-nucleotide ribosomal RNA is filed under the name uncultured bacterium. RNAcentral's name for it is "bacterial SSU rRNA". It matches the Rfam family "Bacterial small subunit ribosomal RNA", at positions 8 to 722 of the family's 1533-position model. The record is from RNAcentral.